GUGAAUCAUCAAAUCUUUGAACGCAAAUUACGCCUUUUUCGGAAGGCAUGUCUGUUUGAGGGCACCAUUUAACAAAUAAUGUGCAGCGUUUUUUGUUGCACACGUUGAUGAGCUUUCCAAGAAUUUUAAAUUUUUGGUGGCGCAUAAUGAACAGCGUGAAAGUUUUUUUUAGGUUGAAUUGUAUUAAAUUUUUUCUUUGGUUGUUGAAAAACCUAAUC
This 218-nucleotide unclassified non-coding RNA is filed under the name Paraglomus occultum. RNAcentral describes it as "partial contains 5.8S ribosomal RNA and internal transcribed spacer 2". The record is from RNAcentral. Lineage: Eukaryota; Fungi; Glomeromycota; Glomeromycetes; Paraglomerales; Paraglomeraceae.